AGAGUUUGAUCCUGGCUCAGGAUGAACGCUAGCGGCAGGCUUAAUACAUGCAAGUCGUGGGGCAGCGCAGGUAGCAAUACUGGGCGGCGACCGGCAAACGGGUGCGGAACACGUACACAACCUUCCUUCAAGUGGGGAAUAGCCCAGAGAAAUUUGGAUUAAUACCCCGUAACAUAACGAUGUGGCAUCACAUUGUUAUUAUAGCUUCGGCGCUUGUUGAUGGGUGUGCGGCUGAUUAGAUAGUUGGCGGGGUAACGGCCCACCAAGUCUACGAUCAGUAGCUGAUGUGAGAGCAUGAUCAGCCACACGGGCACUGAGACACGGGCCCGACUCCUACGGGAGGCAGCAGUAAGGAAUAUUGGUCAAUGGACGAAAGUCUGAACCAGCCAUGCCGCGUGAAGGAUUAAGGUCCUCUGGAUUGUAAACUUCUUUUAUCUGGGACGAAAAAAGGCGAUUCUUCGUCACUUGACGGUACCAGAUGAAUAAGCACCGGCUAACUCCGUGCCAGCAGCCGCGGUAAUACGGAGGGUGCAAGCGUUAUCCGGAUUCACUGNGUUUAAAGGGUGCGUAGGCGGGCAGGUAAGUCAGUGGUGAAAUCCUAGAG
RNAcentral lists this ribosomal RNA (604 nucleotides) under uncultured freshwater bacterium. RNAcentral describes it as "bacterial SSU rRNA". It matches the Rfam family "Bacterial small subunit ribosomal RNA", at positions 8 to 607 of the family's 1533-position model. The record is from RNAcentral.